GAUGAACGCUGGCGGCGUGCCUAACACAUGCAAGUCGAGCGGCAGCGAGGGGUGCUUGCACCCUGUCGGCGAGAGGCGGAAAGCUGAGUAAAGCGUGGGAACGUCCCCCACAGCGAGGGAGAACUGCACGAGAGAACGACUAAUACCGCAGAAUAUCUUCGGAUCAAAGGAUUUAUCCGCUUUGGGAGCGGCCCGCGUCGGAUAAGGUAGUUGGUGAGGUAAUGGCUCACCAAGACGACGAACCGUAGCUGGUCUGAGCGGAUGACCAGCCAGACUGGAACUGAGACACGGUCCAGACUCCUACGGGAGGCAGCAGUGAGGACUCUUCCACGAUGGGCGAAAGCCUGAUGGCGCAACGCCGCGUGCAGGACGAAGGCCUUCGGGUUGUAAACUGCUUUUAUAAGUGAGGAAUAUGACGGUAACUUAUGAAUAAGGAUCGGCUAACUACGUG
This 451-nucleotide ribosomal RNA is filed under the name uncultured bacterium. RNAcentral describes it as "partial 16S ribosomal RNA". It matches the Rfam family "Bacterial small subunit ribosomal RNA", at positions 28 to 507 of the family's 1533-position model. The record is from RNAcentral.